CCCUUAGAUGUCCUGGGCCGCACGCGCGCUACACUGAUGCAUUCAACGAGUUUUACCUUGGCCGAGAGGCCUGGGCAAUCUUUUAAACCUGCAUCGUGAUAGGGAUAGAUUAUUGCAAUUAUUAAUCUUGAACGAGGAAUUCCUAGUAAACGCAGAUCAUCAAUCUGCAUUGAUUACGUCCCUGCCCUUUGUACACUCCGCCCGUCGCACCUACCGAUUGAAUGGUCCGGUGAAGCCUCGGGAUUGUGGCCAGUUCACUUUAUUGGGAGUUGGCUGCGAGAACUUGUCUAAACCUUAUCAUUUAGAGGAAGGUGAAGUCGUAACA
This 325-nucleotide ribosomal RNA is filed under the name uncultured eukaryote. RNAcentral's name for it is "partial 18S ribosomal RNA". It matches the Rfam family "Eukaryotic small subunit ribosomal RNA", at positions 1470 to 1796 of the family's 1831-position model. The record is from RNAcentral.